Non-coding RNA from Benincasa hispida (wax gourd), 3627 nucleotides. NCBI's taxonomy places the organism in Eukaryota, Viridiplantae, Streptophyta, Magnoliopsida, Cucurbitales, Cucurbitaceae. The record is from RefSeq and is a predicted model, not a curated record.
CGAGGUGGGUCGAGGUUGGGGAAUAUAUUCCUUGUCUCCAUCUCCGUUUAGCCAAUGGGCAAAAUUUUCUCCCCGCUCCCUCCCCCAUUCCCCGACUAAUCGAUUGGCUCUGCGGGUUAAAUGGACAUCUCUACGUAUGCGUGCUAACCAUUCAUCUUUAUUUCUAUCGUUUCAAUUUCAAAUUUCUCUCUAUCAUUCUUCUUGUUCUUCUUCUACCACUGUUGCUUCCUGUUCUCUCCUUGCUCUUCUUCAUCUUAAUCCUAUUCUUCUUCCGCUAUUGUUGUUAUUGUUUCUUCUUCCUUUUUCUUAUGCCACCAUCGCUGCCGUUGUUGCAUCUUAUUUCUUUUUCUACAAUAGAGUAAAGAUUUAACGAAUCAACUACAUCAGUAAUAACUCAACUCUUCAAGGUUAUAACUCUUUUCUUUUCUUCUCAUCAAUCUAUCAGUGGUCAUAGUUAUUAAACCUAAAUUUUGUGAACAUAUGGUAAGCAACAUAAAAAGGAAAACAAUCAAAGGCGAAUCAUCAACCAAAGGAAAGAAAAUAAAAACAAAAAAGCAGGUGAAAGUAAAACCAAAGGUAUAAACGUUAAUCAUAAACUUGUGAUGGCACGCCAUGGUCUCGCGACCAUAAAUUUCCCUGUUAAUAAUAGGUCAUAACUUUUUAAUCAGAUGGCCGCUUUGGGCAAGUGACAAAUUGUUUUUUUUUUUUUUUUUUUUUUCCAUCCUCUAUCCAGAUCCAACAUUAGUUUUGAGUUUGGAGUUCUGAUUUGAAGAGUUUCAUUGGAAAAAAAACACCCGAAAUGCUUGAUCAAAAAGAAAUUCUAUAAGAUGGGUGUGAUGAUGGGAGCUACAGGUGUAGGUAUACUUGUCAAAUUUGUGCCUUUGUUGUCUAUGUUAGAUACCUGAAGAAAGGAAGGUUUGUUUAGAGCCUCCACAAGAGAAUUCUUGGUGAGUUCGACUUGGGAUCACUUAGGGUUUUCCACAAAUGUCGAGAGGUUGCCGUUAGAAAUUUUCAUAGCCUAAUUGUGGAGUUGAUUGAAAUUGGAUCAAGAAUGAGACGUUGAUGCAUUGUUGGCAAUGAAUUAAUCGACGACUAAUUCUAAUCUCUGUACAAUAUGCUUAGCACUUGUAUUCUGAACAUGAGUGACUAAAUUAUAUUGUAGUUCUAGGGUUUGAUUGAUUUCAAUUGUUUAUGGGUGAUUCUUAAUUAUUUUGAUUAAUUGAAUGCAUUGGUCUCUUAUCAUGUUUGCGUUUUUCCAAUUGAAUGUUUGUUCACCAUUUGAUUGAUUUAGGACUUUUAAAUAUACUAUACUUGAGAAAGAGAUUUUUAAACUGGAACUAGCAUGAUAAACUGACAUUGGAAUAUGAAUGAGAUUGAUAGGAAAACGUGAGAGGUUAAGAAUGAAGAGGAUUAAUGCUAUGUCUUUUAGUUUGAAUUGCAUGAAAAUAGAAUUGAUUUUUAGACAUUAGAAAGGGUUGAGCUCGUAAGAGGAAACUUAGAUCUUCUAGGCCUAAGUUGAUACAUUGAAUUAAUUGAAAGAAAAUAUUUUGAAUCCAUAAUAAUGUUGAAUGAGAUCAAUACCCUAAGACAAUCUGGUCAAAUGAAUCCUUACUUUGAACAUUUAUUUGCUUUCUUUAGUUUUAUGUUUAAAAAAUCAUCCUGUUUUGAUUUCUUAAAUAAAGUCGAAAAGAUUGCUUGAUAGCUAGUUAAAUUAAAUAACUAAUUCUCUGAGGACGACAACCAAUUUAUUUGGAUUUUAUUACUUCGAUGCAUACACUUGUACGUGUCAUAUGCUUCCACUACAACUAACAAAAGAAGAAUCUCAAUCAACCACCAUAAAAUAUUUCAUUGAUCUGGGGAAGAAGGAGACGGAGGAGGAGGAGAAAGAAAAAGAAAGAGAUGGGAGAGGAAAAAAAAUAAAGGAAUUGAAAAAUUGAUUGCAGAAGAAGAAAGAAAAAACGUGUCUACAAAAAGAAUGAUGGAAGAAAUCCAAGAACUCAAAAAAGGCCAAAAGAGUGUAGAACAAGAACAAAAAGAUUUGAAACAAGACAAAAAAGAAACCACAAGUUUGUUGAAUACCAUUAUGGAUGGCCUGAAGGAUAGACUUCCAUUUGUAAAUCUUCCACAACAAGAAGAAAAAGAGCAUGAACAGAGUGUGGAGAAAAAGAAGGCUCCUUCUUCUAGCCUUCAAGUUUUGGAAGAAAAUGAUAAUAUCGAUGAAAUGGUGGAGUAUGCAAAAAAAUUUAUAUCUGGGAUAAGUCCUUGGUAUGUGGUAGUCUAUUUUUUUAAUUGUAACUAUACAUUUACUAACUAUAAAAUUGCCUUUUCUCGUAGAUUGAAAUUGGAAAUGAAUAACAAAAUGAAGGAAAGGAAUCUGACAUCCAAACACAACAGCAUGAAACUCAAAAUGAUUUGGAACCUAUUCCAACUUUAGAUUUGGAAACUUCAAAAAUACGAGAGUUUUCAGUAGAGUUGGAGGAUGCUCAGUAAGACCAAAACACAAGAAAAGGAAAAGAAAAAUGUUUCAUUCUUUCUCUUAAGCUACUUUGUCUUAGACUUAAUGUUUAUGGACACUGAUAGAUAGUGAUAAACUUCCAUAGACACUGAUAGAAGUCUAUUAUUGUCUUUCAGUGGUUGAUUAUUUUCUUAAGCUUAGCUACUACUUUGUUAUUAAUGAUAGUGUAGUCUUCUAUCUUAUUAUUAAGUUUCUUAAGUUUAGAACUAUAUUGCUUUCUAUCAUAUGCUUGUAGGAAGUUGAAGUUGAAGGACAAGAAGUUGAAGUUCAAGAAAGAGUGAAAGAAGAAAUUGAAGAAGAAGAAGAACUUGAAGAAGAAUAGAACAAAAAAAAGGGAAAGAAAGUCAAAAUAUAGAAGUGAGAAAGAGCAAAUCUAUGAAGAAGAGGAACUUGAAGAACAUCAAGUAGAAGAAGAGAAAAUUAAGGAUGAACAAGUUGAGCAGGAAUAACAAAUUAAAGAAGAUACUGAUUAGGAAGAGAAUGAAGAGAUUGAAAGAAUAGGAAAAAACAAAAAAAAAAAAAAAAGGAAGCAAGUUGCUGAAGAGAAUGGAAAGCAUAAAAAGUUUAGAUCGAAGGUGGUAGAAGACAAAUAUGUUCAGAACGAGAGACCAAAGAGAUGGAAAAAACCAAUGAAAAAGACAAUAAACAAUAAGAAUAAGAAUGAAAAGAAGGUCUCCUCAAAGAAGAAACCUGAGAAGAAGAAGGACUCCCCACAGAGGAUAGUAACAAAAAAAUUGAUGGUGGAAAUUGCUCCAAGCUUCGACCUGAAGAUUUCUCAACUAAAAUCUCAAUCUCAAUUCUAAAACUUUUGCUUUGGCAAAAUUUCUUUGUAGUUGAAAAUUAAAUGCUUUUGCUUUGUGAACAUGUUUCGAUAUAUACUUGUUAGACAAUUAACAACUUUUGUUAAGUAUUUUUGUCACACCCCCCUUCCAAAUUCACCUCUUUCUCAAGGAGGAAGAUGUGAGGACAGCAGAUGCGAACUCUCUUAUGACAUCUAUUGUCAAUUGAAUCUGUUAAACUAGCAUCUUAAGAAUUUGUUUUGCUUUAGGCUUUAACCUGUAAACUUGUAUAUUAGCAAAUCUAUCACGGAACACAACUUAACUCAUCUCAAC